GAGGAGAUAAGGUUGACUGGUUGAGAGGGAAUGUAUGAGACAAUAGGAGUGCUCAGUUUGGAAAUUGUGAAUUGGUGACGUGGCUAGAUGUGUUUUUUUUUGUUGAACUUAUAAUAUUGUUGACGCUAGUUUUUGAACUUAUAAUAUUGGAAAUAUAUUUUGGGGUCACUAAACAAUCUUAAGUAAAAAAGUUGUCAGCUACAUUUAGGCCUCGUCAAGCUUUGCAAUUUUGAUAUAAAGUUUAUCUCCAUCCAAGAUCGUAUGAAAAAGAUAUGAAUUAUUUUAUUUAAAAAUCUAGACAUAUGAAUAUACCCACCCAAAAU
RNAcentral lists this long non-coding RNA (323 nucleotides) under Setaria viridis. Its description in RNAcentral is "long non-coding RNA (SVIR_LNC010948)". The record is from RNAcentral. Lineage: Eukaryota; Viridiplantae; Streptophyta; Magnoliopsida; Poales; Poaceae.